ACUAUAUACAGGGGGUACCGGUACAGAGUCAAUGUGGAGGCUAUAUACAGGGGGUACCGGUACAGAGUCAAUGUGGAGGCUAUAUACAGGGUAUUACGGUACAGAGUCAAUGUGGAGGCUAUAUACAGGGUAUUACGGUACAGAGUCAAUGUGGAGGCUAUAUACAGGGUAUUACGGUACAGAGUCAAUGUGGAGGCUAUAUACAGGGGGUACCGGUACAGAGUCAAUGUGGAGGCUAUAUACAGGGGGUACCGGUACAGAGUCAAUGUGGAGGCUAUAUACAGGGGGUACCGGUACAGAGUCAAUGUGGAGGCUAUAUACAGGGGGUACCGGUACAGAGUCAAUGUGGAGGCUAUAUACAGGGCAUUACGGUACAGAGUCAAUGUGGAGGCUAUAUGCAGGGGGUACCGGUACAGAGUCAAUGUGGAGGCUAUAUACAGGGGGUACCGGUACAGAGUCAAUGUGGAGGCUAUAUACAGGGGGUACCGGUACAGAGUCAAUGUGGAGGCUAUAUACAGGGGGUACCGGUACAGAGUCAAUGUGGAGGCUAUAUACAGGGGUUACCGGUACAGAGUCAAUGUGGAGGCUAUAUACAGGGUAUUACGGUACAGAGUCAAUGUGGAGGCUAUAUACAGGGGGUACCGGUACAGAGUCAAUGUGGAGGCUAUAUACAGGGGGUACCGGUACAGAGUCAAUGUGGAGGCUAUAUACAGGGGGUACCGGUACAGAGUCAAUGUGGAGGCUAUAUACAGGGGGUACCGGUACAGAGUCAAUGUGGAGGCUAUAUACAGGGUAUUACGGUACAGAGUCAAUGUGGAGGCUAUAUACAGGGGGUACCGGUACAGAGUCAAUGUGGAGGCUAUAUACAGGGUAUUACGGUACAGAGUCAGUGUGGAGGCUAUAUACAGGGUGUUACGGUACAGAGUCAAUGUGGAGGCUAUAUACAGGGGGUACCGGCACAGAGUCAAUGUGGGGGCUAUAUACAGGGGGUACCGGUACAGAGUCAAUGUGGAGGCUAUAUACAGGAG
RNAcentral lists this long non-coding RNA (1028 nucleotides) under Salmo salar (Atlantic salmon). Its description in RNAcentral is "lncRNA (ENSSSAG00000093785.1)". Lineage: Eukaryota; Metazoa; Chordata; Actinopteri; Salmoniformes; Salmonidae. The record is from RNAcentral.